This is a long non-coding RNA of Lontra canadensis (Northern American river otter), 985 nucleotides long. RefSeq lists it as uncharacterized. The record is from RefSeq and is a predicted model, not a curated record. The transcript has 3 exons. NCBI's taxonomy places the organism in Eukaryota, Metazoa, Chordata, Mammalia, Carnivora, Mustelidae.
CCUCCUCUGCACCCUAACUAGCCCUGUCUGUGCUUAAACAGAUGUCCAUCUCGAAUGAGAAAAUGGAAGUUCUAGCGGGGGCCUCGUUGCUCCGAGGUCCCAACAAAUAUCUGGACUUUCGUCUCAGUGUCAGACUAAGCGGCUCCCAUCAUCUGCCGCGUCCCAGAGGGUGCAGGGAAACCGUCUAUCCAGCUCAACGAAACCGGUCUCAGCAAGCACGACGCCAUCUGGCCUACCGCCUCCGAGAACUUGGGCUCACCCAGGAGGGGCCCGCGCCUGCGCGGACCGCGGAGGGGCGUGGCGAGGAGAGAGGGGGCGAGGCCUCCGCGGAAGGCGAGAGGAGGCGCGGGGCAGUGACGCAAAUGCGCCCCCAGUGGUGGGUGUGUUCGCGCCUCUGGUCUGUAGCUUCUGGACUCCGUUUCCACGGUUACGGCGGCGCGAGGCUGUGUCCCAGACACUGACAUCCAGCGAUUUGUGCGUGCGCGGGAGCUGCACACUCUUGGAGGCAGUUGCUCGGAUCAAGGUAAAGGUCAUAGUGUAUCCCUGAGCUUCCGCAACCCAUGUGCCCUUUGCCUGGCUUCCCGUGACUUCCUCAGAGAACGUUCUUGACUCUUCCCUUCUUCCGUAAGCCCAUGUCGCCUCCCUGGAGGGCCACACCACCAAAGAUAAAGUCGUGCUUCUGGCAGGUUCACCCCCGCAGGAUGAAGCCACUCUGGGUCCGUGUGGGGUAGAAGCCCUGGCGACCCUGGAAGUGGUUGGCCGCGGGCUAGGAGUGGAUGAGAGCACAGAUGUAAAUAAUACAAGUCAGUUAAUUAUUUAUCCGGGGCGUUGAUGAGAAUUUUGACAUCACUGAAGUACUUUUGGACAUGGUGCCCAUGACAGACGCAACAUCUGAAAAUGACUUAUUUGGGUAUGUUGAGAGAAGUCAUGAAAAGUUUAAUGUUGACUGGUCCAAACCGGUAAGUGUGACCACACAGAUGGUGGU